Molecule: transfer RNA, 71 nt
Filed under: Loxodonta africana (African savanna elephant)
Lineage: Eukaryota; Metazoa; Chordata; Mammalia; Proboscidea; Elephantidae
Rfam family: tRNA
About the family: Transfer RNA (tRNA) molecules are approximately 80 nucleotides in length. Their secondary structure includes four short double-helical elements and three loops (D, anti-codon, and T loops).
Source: Rfam by way of RNAcentral
GCAUUGGUGGGUCAAUGGUAGAAUUCCUGCCUUCUGUGCAGGAGACCUGGGUUUGAUUUCCAGCCACUGCA